GGCAUCAGAAAAGUAUAAUAUAAAAUCGAAUCGUAGAUGGAUAUUAUAGUAAGUUGGAGAAUUUUAUAUAUAUAUAUAUAUUAUAGUAAGUUGGAGACUUUUAUAUAUAUAUAUAUAUUAUAGUAAGUUGGAGACUUUUAUAUAUACAUAAAUCUCUAUCUCUUAGAUCGUAAGAGUUUAAAAAAUUGUAAUUAUUCAUUGUUGGAUAUACUCAUUUGCGAGAGAUAGCUCAUUUUGUUUAUUGGCCUGGCCUGUCCACAUAUUAAUAUAUUCUUCAUCGUUGAUUCCGGGUCUUCUGUCCACUUAUAAAUGUCCAAGUCAGUAGUGUAAGGCCCGGCACAUUGAUAAUGACGUGAUGAC
This 360-nucleotide long non-coding RNA is filed under the name Prunus persica (peach). RNAcentral's name for it is "long non-coding RNA (PPER_LNC004010)". The record is from RNAcentral. Lineage: Eukaryota; Viridiplantae; Streptophyta; Magnoliopsida; Rosales; Rosaceae.